AAAAUGCAGGUUUUCAUGAGUUCUGCAGUGAACUUUCUACCGUCUUCUAGCUGUAAUAUAUUCAAACUAGUCACAAGAAACGUGAGGAUGCUCAUUCUCAUUGAGUUGGUGAUGAAAUGAUUCAUGAACUUGAAUUUGGGGCUCAUCAAACUUUUGCUGCUUCAGCAGGAACGCCGGCCCUCUCAGCAAUGAUCUGUUCAUAGAGAUCUCUAAUCUUCAGUCCUACGAUAGUUUGGAAGAGACCUGUUCCAUUGUUGCUGCCUGGGAAGUCUGCAUGCUUUAGCAUUUGCUGUGUCACCUCCCCGUAGAACUUGGUUGAGAGGUUGCUUAGGUGGCUCUCAACAUAGAUGAGUUCAUCUAGUCUGUCAAAUUGCCCAUCCAUCUCCAGCACCGAUACCUGAAGUAAACAAACAAACACUAAGAUUGUACAGCAUUGUCUAAGGCAGGACCUGGUUGACAGCUAGAAUUGUUCUACUCGGUGAAUAGUUGAUCUCUAGUCCAAGAAUGGUUUUGGAGCCCUCUCUUUUUUGUCCUACUUUGUCCUACUUGCUAGGUUUCUUUAGAUUUAUUAUCCAAGUAACAGCAGUUAACAUUACUCGUUGGACACAAAAGGGCAAAUAAACCAAGAUGAGUACCUCUUGGCCGAAGUAAGUGUCUGGGCCAUAGGAAAAUUUGAUGCCAGGGUAAGAGCAUGUAAGCUUUCUUCCACAAGGGAUCCAGUUGAUGGUUGAUCCUUCAUCGAAGAGGUAAACCGGGUUGAAGAACUUAACGCCUUCUUUCAUGAUCAAUUUAAC
RNAcentral lists this long non-coding RNA (794 nucleotides) under Hordeum vulgare. RNAcentral describes it as "long non-coding RNA (HVUL_LNC016518)". Lineage: Eukaryota; Viridiplantae; Streptophyta; Magnoliopsida; Poales; Poaceae. The record is from RNAcentral.